AGGGCACAGGCGUGACCCUUAUAAGGACGAUGUGAGGCACAUGUAGAGGCUAACCCGUCCUGUCGGGGGUGCUUUGGCGACUCGCUAAUGAUCGUAUAGAGACGGCGGGUCGUGCCGACACCCACGAACGUGCGAACACAAUUUCUUACGGCGAGUCAGUUGCCGCCCUACUUCGGCGGUGACUGGCUCGUCAAUUUUUGGACGCCCCCAAUGCUUAGUUGGGGGCUCCCACUUAUCCUUUCAAUUGAUGCACAGCCUGAUUUUGUGGAUUUGAACAAUUGGAUCCUUUGUUUUAUUGUCUUAGUUUUCAAAGAGAUGUUCUUAUUUUAUGUGUUUUCUCAGUGUUUGAUGUGUUGUUUUAGGAGAUUUUCUGGUUAGGAUGCUUUUAGUGAGAGAUUUAUGAGUUUUUGACACGACGAAACGAUUUAUUAAGAUGCUUUAUAUAUUGAUGUUGUUUGGAAUGUGAACUGCGGCUUCUGCGUCAAUAGUCGGUGUUUAUUCUGGAUAGAUCUAGAGGCUUCUCUGUGUUUGUUGAGAUCCUACGUGCUCAUCUAUGGUGAUUAGAACGACAAUAAACUUUGUUGAUUUACUAAUAAAAUGCAACCAAGUUCUAGGUAACCUGUAAUUGACUGCUUUCUCUUUAUCUUCCUGAAUCACACAAUAUAUUGGUCGAUAGCGAAACGUCUGGAAGCCCUGGGAAUCUCUGUAUGUUUUUGCUUCAUCAUGAUUGCUCCUAAACCGCAAAGAUUGUUUUGAGCCUCAUUGUUAUAGAUAAAUUAGAUCAAAUCUGCUAAGGUUGUUCUUCUCAAGUGGCUAGUAGUUGCACCGUUGUUUCACAUACUCUAUGCUCCUAUAACUUUUUCGUAUUGCCGAUUUUCGGGGAAGUUAAGAACGGUGGAGAGAAUGUUUGUUUUGUUACUAUUACUCUGUUGAGUAAUUGCCAAUGUGCUAUUUCUGAAUGCAGUAAUAUACUCAUAAGUUUGGAUUGUA
Molecule: long non-coding RNA, 990 nt
Organism: Andrographis paniculata
Lineage: Eukaryota; Viridiplantae; Streptophyta; Magnoliopsida; Lamiales; Acanthaceae
Exons: 2
Source: RefSeq, a predicted model, not a curated record